Molecule: long non-coding RNA, 2213 nt
Organism: Bombus impatiens (common eastern bumble bee)
Lineage: Eukaryota; Metazoa; Arthropoda; Insecta; Hymenoptera; Apidae
Exons: 2
Source: RefSeq, a predicted model, not a curated record
UGGACCGAUAUCGCUGCACGAGGAAACUGGUUUCCCGAGUUUUUCUCGUAGACCAAGACCGCAAGCCUGAACAAACACCGGUCCGAUGAUAAAUAUUGGAAAAGCAAUCGUUCUGACGUUUACAGCAUUCUUUUACCUGUGCGCAUCCGGAAAUAGCGGCCACCUUGCUAAAAUCGACGCCACACACGCGCAACUUAUCGAGAAUCAUGUCCAGAGCCUUAACCCACAUCAAAGUGGGAACCACCACUACGUGUGGCUCAGCUCUUUUCUGAAUGACGCCUCCGUACGUUCUAAAAUUGUCCAAUAUUUAAUAAUUAAAUGUAACGUAAUUAAAUUGUAAUCGUAAAUUCUAAUUAAACGUAAAAUAAUUUGACAUUUUUUACGAGAUAUUAAUCAUCGAUGAGAGUAUAAAUAUAUCGAGUGUAGAAAGGAAUUCGGUAUUUUAGCUUUGUAUAUUCUAUUUCGUUAUUACGAAUUCGCAUAUCUUAGUGCCUUUCAUAAACAUGACAUUUUUUUCUAGAUAGUGUAUCGUUCAGCGCACUGAUUCUAAUGCGAUUCAAAAUAUAGUUGCAAUGAAAUCGACCAUGAUACGAUUGGAAAUUAACAAAAUAUUUUAUACUCCGUUGUAAUCUUGCUUUUUCCUGUAUAAAUCAUCAAGACAAUAAGAAAUCAAAACAGAACAAUAAUAACGGAGUCGUAUUCGUCAUAAAAAAUUCAUUUGGGAGAAAUUUGUUGCUUGUUACGAAUUGUAUUUUAUCAAUGCUUUCUUUCUAGUGUGAGAAUGUGUAAAUAAUGAAUAAAUAAUUCUCGAUUUGCUCAAUGCUAUUGCUCAGACAUGAACUUCUAUGUACUUUAAAAUAUAAUGUUAGAAAUCGCAUCAUUGCUUAUGUAUCAUUAGGUUGAACGAAAAGAUUUUAAUAUCGUAUUUUGCAUUAAUCAUCUCAUGAGAGAUCUUCGUGGAUUUUAGAGUGUUAAGAAACGUUUUAAAAAAUGUACGUGGAAACGUCAAAAGUGGAUAAUACGUAAAAAUACGUAACAUGAAAAUAUAAGAAAACAUGGUAUUUAAGCAUAUUUACCUAAAUUCUGGUAGAUCAUUGUCAAACUGUACACUGGUUUCAUGGAGAACAGCGAGAUUGUUAUCGACGACAACUGCUUUCAACUACAAAUGUCAAAAGAUACUUGUUAACGGCCUCUUAAAUUCGCAAUACUACGCUGUUCCUCGAUUUUUUAUCUACAUCAUCGAAUAAGUUAUGUGCAACAAGGCUACCAUGUGACAUAGCAUGGUCAAUUAGUUAUGCUACUCCAUAAUGUAAUUCGAAAUUUAAAAUUCAAAACUUUUUACCAUUUUUCGUAUCUACCAUAUGAAUAUAUACACGUGUAACGUUUAAACAUACUACUAAUAGUGCUUAAUAAAAUAAAAAGAUGUCCAGAUGUAUCAUCGCCCAUAAGUUUAAUCACAAGUACAAAUAUCGUGAAACGCGUAAAGUCUCGAGUGAAAUUAAAUGGACAAAUAAGUAUCGUUAUUAAAAUGAAUCGUGGAAUAGGAUAAAAUAUCAAAUAAAAUAAUAUUUGUUUCAAUAAAUAAAACGAACAGAUGUUCUAAGAGGUAGAUACUUAUGAUCGAUAAUGUAUAUAUCAUGAGCGAUGGUUUAUGCAACAGAAAUUAUUAUGUAGAAUCCAUAGAUAUUGAUGAUUGUCGGGUAUUUAAUUUGUCGAAAGUUGACAAGCAGAUAACAUUCACGUCUGAUGGUAUCGAUUAUUCUUGUAUAUCGCUUAUGAUUCACAUAUUUCUUCUAUUUUAAAGGAUCAAUAAUUACGACAAAUUGAAUUAACGAAUAGAUAAAAAUAAAUGUUUUAUACGAAUUGGUUAUGUUACGAUACAUUCGUUUAUGAUUUAUGGAGUUUCGAUGCCAAAGAUGCGCAAGAAACAUUUUGCUAUUUCAAUUAUCAUUUCGACCGCUUCUAGCAUUUCGCGCUUUUCGUUGCAAACGAGAUACGCAUUUCUUUCGCCCGUAUCGUCCUACUGCUUAAUGUUAUCAUUAUGUUAGAUAAUUGUGACCCAUCUGACGCGCGUCACACGCAGCGAAACGCUUCUCGUCAACAACUUCGAAUUUUCCUAUCAUUUUAGUGUAUUAUUGACUGUAAUAUUUGUUUAUACCUAAAAGCUAACCGUGGUAAAUUUACCACUAGACAUUAAAGUAUCGUUAACUUAA